Lolium perenne is the source of this 2716-nucleotide long non-coding RNA. RefSeq lists it as uncharacterized. The record is from RefSeq and is a predicted model, not a curated record. NCBI's taxonomy places the organism in Eukaryota, Viridiplantae, Streptophyta, Magnoliopsida, Poales, Poaceae.
UUGCGUGUACACAUGCUUCUAUGCAUUUUUCUCUGCCCCCUUCUGACCGAGACCCAGACCCAGCCGAUCAUCCCUGUUCUCAAUUCGUCUUGCUGGAGCACACCUGCUCGCUGGGAUACUAGACCGCGCCGCCGCACCCGCGUGAUCUCCUACCCACACGUUUCGUGCCCCCAUGGAAGGAUUUAGUUGAGAUUGGUCCGUAGAAUAAGGGGGGCACAGCUGCCUGCAGAUGGCAGGGCGUGAGAGCCGCCGCCGAGGGUGGAAAGGAGGAGCACGCGAUGGGAACGGGCACACCCACGCCGGCCGAGCUCCACACCAUCCAGCCCACCCCUCUUCGUCGUGCACGGCCGAACAAGAACCAGGCCUUGACAGGUUCUAGAUGUCUCCCCUGUUCUUGUUUUAAAUUUUCGUGAUACGUCACUCCGGCAAUGCAUUCUGAUGGCCUCAUUGCUUAUAUGUUUUCUUCUUCAGUUUCAUAAGUUGCGGCCUUCAUAGUACUUCCAUAGAUACAUUAUAGCCGAUACGCCUGUGAUGUCUAGCGACAAGAGACCGGGAAUCCUAGAAGCUCAUGUCUGUCCAAGGAUUCUCGACAAGCGUCCUCGUGAAUUUCGUGAUUUAGUUUUUUUACUUCUAAAAUUAUAAAUGUUGAUAAGUAUUAUGUCCAUAGCCUCAUGUAUAUGUAGUUUGUCAUUUGCGCAAUGAAUGGCUAGCGAAAAUUGCAAGCUUACUAAUUCAUGUCAUAUAUCCAAUAUUAUUGUGAUGAAUGUUGUACUUUUUAAUCAGGAAUCGUGCACAAAAUUUUGUUGGUAUCCUGAUUGCCAUUGUGGAAGCCGUGACCUGUGUCCUGUGGGAGCCAACUUGGAACUGGGAAUGCUAUUCUCAUUAUACUUUGUUUGCUGGAUCAUUGUCUUAUGUGAUAUGUCUAGAUAAACUUCUUGCGUGUUGACACACAUUAAUUGUUUCUUGCACGUUCUAUACAGGAAGUAUAGUGGAAAUUUCAUUGUUAACCUUCUUGGCAAAUGGAAAUAAUAUGAAUAUUCUGGUCAUUCUGUUACUACUGGUGGUCUUGCUUACAAUGUGACUGCACCAUCCAGGUUCUUCACCGGCUAUAGAUUACUGCAGUGAGUAUAUUCACUAAUUGGUAACGAAUAGAGAAAAGUAUCUUCACGUGGCAGGGUGUCGCCUUGUUGCAUAUAACCAGCUGGAGUUCAUCACUAAGAAUGUAUCGCCUCUACCUGGAGUUCAGCAUUCAAAACCGGGUUGCCUAAAAUUUAGUGGGACCUCAUGCCCAUGUUUCAUAAGCACAUAUGUUUUUAAUACUUUGCUCUAAUAUGCUAUGCCCGUCCAAAAAAUUAUUAUUCUUCCUGCUUUGCCUACUAAACAUGUAUGAUGAUGGCAUAAUGCUUUACUUGGCAUGAUGAUUUGCUUUCUAUUGACUGCUUUGUCCGCACUGACUUCUGUAUACGGCUCAUACAUUACAUGCUAAUCUACACAGCAGCUUGCUUUAGAGAUUUUGUAAUGAAUGAUGGAAGAGGUACUGAAUGAAUUUUAAAGCAUUGCUUAAAUGAUCCAGAUAGUUAUGCUUUGGGUUAGUUUUUUUAUUAGGAUCUCUCUAGGAACUUUUUCCUCUGUACUGUGUUGUUGCCGCUGCAGGCCAGCAAGACGGUUGGUGUCGAUGAUGAAGAUUGCUUGUUUUGUCUGAUAAUGAAAUGAUUUGGACACAUAUAGAGUAUUACCGCCUUUAGCUUGCAAGGUAUGUUACCAUCCCAUGCCCCAUCUGCUUAGCUAACUUUUUGUGCUGAACUAGGAUUUUGGGAUUAGCUAUUUACAGUUAUCGAAGGAGAUGACCCUCUUACAAGACCUCUGAUUGGUGGAUUCUGUUGUUGUCAGUGUCUUGCAUCAUUCAGAGAAAAGUCAAUUUAUUUUUAGCGUCGUUUGCAUGAAAAUUUAAAUAUAUAACAUGGCAAUAUGUGAAGUGGAACAAUUUAUCAGUCCUCAGAAUGCCAGAUUUGACUCCAUUAACUCUGUAGGCUGCGGCAGUUUUUCAAGCUUCGGUUAUUAGGAGAACAGUGUGAUAGGUGUUAAUCAUACAAAAUACUGAUCUAGCCUCAUCAACGGUACUUGGGAAAAUAAAAAUUUCAUGCAUUUACCGGUAUAAAGCUCAGAUAACAUUGUUUAAUAUUCUACUCCCUCUGUUCUGUAACUAGCAAUCAAAGUAACCCUACUGUUGUAUUUGCUCCCUUGUUUACACAUAUAAGAGCCAUAUUCUAACUGUAUGCCAUGUGGACAUGUGGUACUUUGAUUGCCUGCGCCCAAAAGCAAGGCCACGGCCCAAUUAUGGCUCGACGUGUGGACCAAUGUAAAGCACAGAAGCAAGGCCAGCGCCCAGCUCUUGCGAGCCACAUGAGCCUCUCAGGAUUAACCUUACUGUAUCAGUAUCAUUUUCAUACCACGACGAUAAUCUGCAAGACCAGCUUAGUUCAGAGUUUAGGCUGCUCCUGAAUUUCAUUCAUGUGUGCAUCUUUUGUCUAUGUAAACUUGUAAAUCAUGUGUGGCAGCUUAGUUCAGCUUUGAUCCACUUUUCCAUACAUUUUUUUCAUGUAAGAUUGUUGGUUUCUGUAAACAACUAGGUCCCCAUUUGGUAUUUCAUUGGAUACAAACCUGAAUACAAGUGUGUGUGGAGUUCUGUGUGCAAGCAGAGCAGAGGAGAACUUCA